GGAGGGGUUGGUGUCUCUUAGAGGAGGUAUAUUUUUCCCUUCUAAAAGAAUCUGAAAGCGUUUUGCGUAGGGGUUCAAAACUGUGUUUGGCAAAAAGAGCCUGUGCAAUAGCAAUACUGCUCUGUCCUUGUAUUUUAGUACCAUAAAGAAAACAACCCUGUGACACAAAAAUAUGAAGAAGAGAGCAGUCAAAUCCCACCACUUGGAG
This 208-nucleotide unclassified non-coding RNA is filed under the name Hevea brasiliensis (rubber tree). The record is from RNAcentral. Lineage: Eukaryota; Viridiplantae; Streptophyta; Magnoliopsida; Malpighiales; Euphorbiaceae.